RNAcentral lists this ribosomal RNA (428 nucleotides) under uncultured archaeon. Its description in RNAcentral is "bacterial SSU rRNA". It matches the Rfam family "Archaeal small subunit ribosomal RNA", at positions 474 to 903 of the family's 1478-position model. The record is from RNAcentral.
AACCAGCUCUUCAAGUGGUCGGGAUGAUUAUUGGGCUUAAAGUGUCCGUAGCCGGUUUAGUAAGUUCCUGGUAAAAUCAGGUAGCUUAACUAUCUGUAUGCUAGGAAUACUACUAUACUAGAGGGCGGGAGAGGUCUGAGGUACUACAGGGGUAGGGGUGAAAUCUUAUAAUCCUUGUAGGACCACCAGUGGCGAAGGCGUCAGACUGGAACGUGCCUGACGGUGAGGGACGAAAGCCAGGGGAGCGAACCGGAUUAGAUACCCGGGUAGUCCUGGCCGUAAACGAUGCAUACUAGGUGAUGGCCCGGCCAUGAGCCUUGUCAGUGCCGUAGGGAAACCGUUAAGUGUGCCGCCUGGGAAGUACGGUCGCAAGGCUAAAACUUAAAGGAAUUGGCGGGGAGCACCACAAGGGGUGAAGCCUGCGGUUC